UAAUACGUAGGGACCGAGCGUUGUCCGGAUUCAUUGGGCGUAAAGAGCUCGUAGGCGGCCACUCAAGUCGAAUGUGAAACCUCGAGGCUUAACCUCGAGCCUGCAUUCGAUACUGGGCGGCUAGAGUCUGGUAGGGGGAUCUGGAAUUCCUGGUGUAGCGGUGGAAUGCGCAGAUAUCAGGAGGAACACCGGUGGCGAAGGCGGGAUCCUGGGCCAGUACUGACGCUGAGGAGCGAAAGCGUGGGGAGCAAACAGGAUUAGAUACCCUGGUAGUCCAUGCCGUAAACGUUGGGCACUAGGUGUGGGGGACAUUCCACGUUUUCCGCGCCGUAGCUAACGCAUUAAGUGCCCCGCCUGGGGAGUACGGCCGCAAGGCUA
RNAcentral lists this ribosomal RNA (378 nucleotides) under uncultured bacterium. RNAcentral's name for it is "bacterial SSU rRNA". It matches the Rfam family "Bacterial small subunit ribosomal RNA", at positions 521 to 896 of the family's 1533-position model. The record is from RNAcentral.